This 263-nucleotide long non-coding RNA is filed under the name Ananas comosus (pineapple). RNAcentral's name for it is "long non-coding RNA (ACOM_LNC011807)". The record is from RNAcentral. Lineage: Eukaryota; Viridiplantae; Streptophyta; Magnoliopsida; Poales; Bromeliaceae.
AUUAUAUACAUAGUUAGUUAAUUCGGAUUCAAUAAAAAUUCGGUAUGGAUAUAAUUCGGAUAAAAUUUGUUUUUUAAUUUUUAAAUUCGUUGAAAAAUACUGCUAAAAAACGGAUCCGGUAAUUAUUCGGAUACGUAAUUUAUACUGAUAUUAUACGUUCACCAAUUAAAAAUUCGGAAUAAAAAAUUCGGCUAUAUAAUAAAUAUAUAAUAAUUAAUAUACUAUAUAUAUUAUUAUUAUAAUUUUUAUAUAUAGAUUAANNN